ACGGGAGGCAGCAGUGGGGAAUAUUGGACAAUGGAGGAAACUCUGAUCCAGCGACGCCGCGUGAGUGAAGAAGUAUUUCGGUAUGUAAAGCUCUAUCAGCAGGGAAGAUAAUGACGGUACCUGACUAAGAAGCCCCGGCUAACUACGUGCCAGCAGCCGCGGUAAUACGUAGGGGGCAAGCGUUAUCCGGGUUUGCUGGGUGUAAAGGGAGCGUAGACGGCUGUGCAAGUCUGAAGUGAAAUCCGCGGGCUCAACCCGCGAACUGCUUUGGAAACUGUAUAGCUGGAGUGCAGGAGAGGUAAGUGGAAUUCCUAGUGUAGCGGUGAAAUGCGUAGAUAUUAGGAGGAACACCAGUGGCGAAGGCGGCUUACUGGACUGUAACUGACGUUGAGGCUCGAAAGCGUGGGGAGCAAACAGGAUUAGAUACCCUGGUA
Molecule: ribosomal RNA, 434 nt
Filed under: uncultured Clostridium sp.
Lineage: Bacteria; Bacillati; Bacillota; Clostridia; Eubacteriales; Clostridiaceae
Description: partial 16S ribosomal RNA
Rfam family: Bacterial small subunit ribosomal RNA
Source: RNAcentral